GCCGAGGGGGCAGGGGGUGGCCUCGAGAGGGGCACAAAGACCCCUGAACCCCUCCCAUGGUGGGCACUGGAGUCUCUCCUGGAUGGGCCUGGCCCCAAAUCCAUGGAUCCCUCCCCUCUGGCAGCACCACCAUAUCCCCCUGGGCAGAGCUGGGGCUCAGGGGUGGCUCCCACCUGCCCUUCCCGCUCAGAAUUCCCUGGUUUGGGACUCAGUGCUGGCUCCCACCUGCCCUUCCCGCUCAGAAUUCCCUGGUUUGGGAUAAAUGAGCCCAAAAUCCCUCCCUUGGGGGGCUCUGCUGGGCUGGGGCUGCUCUGGGUGGGGUCCCCCCGGGCUGUGACCCCCCUGGACUCCUCCCCUGGAUGGAUUUUCUGCCAUUUCUGACCUGGCCAAGGGGUUGAAAUCCCCUUUUCCACCCGGGACCAGCAGCAGUCCCGCCCCAGCCCUGUGCCCAGCUCCAGAUCCGCCUCCCACGGGGCUGGAAGGGCAGGGACCCUCCUGGAGCCCCGAGCCCAGGGCAGCAAAUGGGAAGUGGAGAGAAAACCCCGGGUUGUGAGCAGAGCAGGAGCUUCCAGACCCUCAGGGGCCUCCCCCUCUCCUCCCUUCCCCAGGGCCCAGCCAGGAAGAGCUGCUGUUCCCAGGGGCUGAGCCGUGGAUCAGAGCGGGCUGGGACCCCCAGCCAGGGCGUGGGGGGGAAUUUGGGCACCCCCAAUAAAGGAUUUGUUCCCCC
Molecule: long non-coding RNA, 727 nt
Organism: Myiozetetes cayanensis
Lineage: Eukaryota; Metazoa; Chordata; Aves; Passeriformes; Tyrannidae
Exons: 4
Source: RefSeq, a predicted model, not a curated record